RNAcentral lists this long non-coding RNA (811 nucleotides) under Pan troglodytes (chimpanzee). RNAcentral's name for it is "long non-coding RNA NONPTRT007982". The record is from RNAcentral. Lineage: Eukaryota; Metazoa; Chordata; Mammalia; Primates; Hominidae.
CGCGGUUGCUGGGCACCUCGACUAUCACCUGACCGUAGUAAUAUCUCCUGCUACGCGCGUUGUGACCAAUGCUGCAUACAGGAGAUGAGGGAGGACGGCCAGACACCUGGAAGCCGGAAAAUGCCAGCAAUCGGUGCAGUUUAACAUCUGAGGGCUGUCCAAGAGAGGAAGAGAUUCCCACAGUACCAUUGUCAUGCCAGGAUGACUGCAGGCAGAAACAAAGCUGAGCCACUUCCCCUCCCCUCAAGAGCAAUAUCAGAGACUUAAAGUUAUGAAGAAGAAAUUGACAGAGCAAGAGCAUCGCCAUCGUGGACAAGCACCUCAUUUUAAAAUUCACCUUAAUCAAAAACUCUAAAUCCAAAGGGCAUCAGCCUAAUGGCUAAGGUCAGCAUGACCAUAAACCACAAAUAAUCUCGCUGACCAAAAACAUUCCAGACUCCUCCCUGACCAGAGACAUGCACCAAGAUAACCCCCACUCUGGCUGGGAAGAUGCCAGCCCUGAGAAACCCCGCUCCGGCCAGAAAGAUGUCUGCCCCAAAAUAACCUCCCCUCCGCCCAGAGACAUUCCAAGCUUGUAAUAAGCCCCCUCACCCUAAAACCAAUAUAUACUCUUAGCCUGUAAGAAAAAGUGCUCCUGACCAAAAUAGGCCAGAAGCCCUUCAGAUUGUUUCUAAAAUAAACCUGUCUUUAACCAUCAAGCUGUGUUUCUUUCCUCUUUAACUCUUACAGAAAUAGACUUCACCAAAAUAGUCCAAUCGGUCUCUAAACAAAACAAAGCAAAUAACAAUAACAAGGCCCGGAGAAAUUGAAC